RNAcentral lists this ribosomal RNA (207 nucleotides) under uncultured Pseudomonadota bacterium. RNAcentral describes it as "uncultured proteobacterium partial 16S ribosomal RNA". It matches the Rfam family "Bacterial small subunit ribosomal RNA", at positions 568 to 775 of the family's 1533-position model. The record is from RNAcentral. Lineage: Bacteria; Pseudomonadati; Pseudomonadota.
CACGUAGGCGGAUCGGUAAGUCAGAUGUGAAAUCCCGGAGCUCAACUCCGGAACUGCAUUUGAUACUGCCAGUCUUGAGUGAGGUAGAGGGGGUGGAAUUCCCGGUGUAGAGGUGAAAUUCGUAGAUAUCGGGAGGAACACCAGAGGCGAAGGCGACCCCCUGGGCCUUUACUGACGCUGAGGUGCGAAAGCGUGGGGAGCAAACAG